CCCUUAGAUGUUCUGGGCCGCACGCGCGCUACACUGAUGCAUUCAACGAGCCUAGCCUUGACCGAGAGGUCCGGGUAAUCUUUGAAACUGCAUCGUGAUGGGGCUAGAUUAUUGCAAUUAUUAAUCUUCAACGAGGAAUGCCUAGUAAGCGUGAUUCAUCAAAUCGCGUUGAUUGCGUCCCUGCCCUUUGUACACACCGCCCGUCGCUCCUACCGAUUGAGUGUGUUGGUGAGGAGUUUGGAUUGGCCUCGGAAGGUGGUUCGCCACCGUCCGUAGCUGAGAAGUUCUCCAAACCGCCCCACUUAGAGGAAGGAGAAGUCGUAACA
This 326-nucleotide ribosomal RNA is filed under the name uncultured eukaryote. RNAcentral describes it as "partial 18S ribosomal RNA". It matches the Rfam family "Eukaryotic small subunit ribosomal RNA", at positions 1470 to 1796 of the family's 1831-position model. The record is from RNAcentral.